RNAcentral lists this unclassified non-coding RNA (206 nucleotides) under Hevea brasiliensis (rubber tree). Lineage: Eukaryota; Viridiplantae; Streptophyta; Magnoliopsida; Malpighiales; Euphorbiaceae. The record is from RNAcentral.
AACUGAUCAAGCUCCUUAUCAUCAUCGCCAAUCAUCUGACCCCCACCGAGGACGGAGUACUUCGCAACGACCUGCUGUGACUGCGCGAGCUGCGCGUCGAUCCUCGGCAGCUGAUCCACCGGCGUCGCGAUACGGAGACAUGCCACGUGCGCCGACAGCAGCUGCUCGUACAGCGGGUGGGCCAGUAUCUCCGCCUUGUACCUAGC